AUUGAACGCUGGCGGCAUGCCUUACACAUGCAAGUCGAACGGUAACAGGUCUUCGGAUGCUGACGAGUGGCGAACGGGUGAGUAAUACAUCGGAACGUGCCCGACCGUGGGGGAUAACGAAGCGAAAGCUUUGCUAAUACCGCAUACGCUCUACGGAUGACAGCAGGGGACCGCAAGGCCUUGCGCGAACGGAGAGGCCGAUGGCAGAUUAGGAAGUUGAUGGGAUAAAAGCUUACCAAGCCGACGAUCUGUAGCUGGUCUGAGAGGACGACCAGCCACACUGGGCCUGAGACACGGCCCAGACUCCUACGGGAGGCAGCAGUGGGGAAUUUUGGACAAUGGGCGAAAGCCUGAUCCAGCCAUGCCGCGUGCAGGAUGAAGGCCUUCGGGUUGUAAACUGCUUUUGUACGGAACGAAAAGACUCUUUCUAAUAAAGAGGGUCCAUGACGGUACCGUAAGAAUAAGCACCGGCUGACUACGUGCCAGCAGCCGCAGUAG
RNAcentral lists this ribosomal RNA (498 nucleotides) under uncultured bacterium. RNAcentral describes it as "partial 16S ribosomal RNA". It matches the Rfam family "Bacterial small subunit ribosomal RNA", at positions 30 to 523 of the family's 1533-position model. The record is from RNAcentral.